GACGAACGCUGGCGGCGUGCUUAACACAUGCAAGUCGAACGGAAAGGCCCUGCUUUUGUGGGGUGCUCGAGUGGCGAACGGGUGAGUAACACGUGAGUAACCUGCCCUUGACUUUGGGAUAACUUCAGGAAACUGGGGCUAAUACCGGAUAGGAGCUCCUGCUGCAUGGUGGGGGUUGGAAAGUUUCGGCGGUUGGGGAUGGACUCGCGGCUUAUCAGCUUGUUGGUGGGGUAGUGGCUUACCAAGGCUUUGACGGGUAGCCGGCCUGAGAGGGUGACCGGCCACAUUGGGACUGAGAUACGGCCCAGACUCCUACGGGAGGCAGCAGUGGGGAAUAUUGCACAAUGGGCGGAAGCCUGAUGCAGCAACGCCGCGUGCGGGAUGACGGCCUCCGGGUUGUAAACCGCUUUCGCCUGUGACGAAGCGUGAGUGACGGUAAUGUGUAAAGAAGCACCGGCUGACUACGUG
Molecule: ribosomal RNA, 468 nt
Filed under: uncultured bacterium
Lineage: Bacteria
Description: partial 16S ribosomal RNA
Rfam family: Bacterial small subunit ribosomal RNA
Source: RNAcentral